Molecule: ribosomal RNA, 426 nt
Filed under: uncultured bacterium
Lineage: Bacteria
Description: bacterial SSU rRNA
Rfam family: Bacterial small subunit ribosomal RNA
Source: RNAcentral
AUUGAACGCUGGCGGCAUGCCUUACACAUGCAAGUCGAACGGCAGCGGACCUUCGGGUGCCGGCGAGUGGCGAACGGGUGAGUAAUAUAUCGGAACGUACCUUUCAGUGGGGGAUAACGUAGCGAAAGUUACGCUAAUACCGCAUAUUCUGUGAGCAGGAAAGCAGGGGAUCGCAAGACCUUGCGCUGAUUGAGCGGCCGAUAUCAGAUUAGCUAGUUGGUGAGGUAAAGGCUCACCAAGGCGACGAUCUGUAGCGGGUCUGAGAGGACGAUCCGCCACACUGGAACUGAGACACGGUCCAGACUCCUACGGGAGGCAGCAGUGGGGAAUUUUGGACAAUGGGCGCAAGCCUGAUCCAGCCAUGCCGCGUGAGUGAAGAAGGCCUCGGGUUGUAAGACGUCUUUCGGUCCGGGAACGGAAAGUACG